CAGCUCAGGACGAACGCUGGCGGCGUGCUUAACACAUGCAAGUCGAACGAUGAUGCCCAGCUUGCUGGGUGGAUUAGUGGCGAACGGGUGAGUAACACGUGAGUAACCUGCCCCUGACUCUGGGAUAAGCGUUGGAAACGACGUCUAAUACUGGAUAUGACUGCCGGCCGCAUGGUCUGGUGGUGGAAAGAUUUUUUGGUUGGGGAUGGACUCGCGGCCUAUCAGCUUGUUGGUGAGGUAAUGGCUCACCAAGGCGACGACGGGUAGCCGGCCUGAGAGGGUGACCGGCCACACUGGGACUGAGACACGGCCCAGACUCCUACGGGAGGCAGCAGUGGGGAAUAUUGCACAAUGGGCGAAAGCCUGAUGCAGCAACGCCGCGUGAGGGAUGACGGCCUUCGGGUUGUAAACCUCUUUUAGUAGGGAAGAAGCGUAAGUGACGGUACCUGCAGAAAAAGCACCGGCUAACUACGUGCCAGCAGCCGCGGUAAUACGUAGGGUGCAAGCGUUGUCCGGAAUUAUUGGGCGUAAAGAGCUCGUAGGCGGUUUGUCGCGUCUGCUGUGAAAUCCCGAGGCUCAACCUCGGGCUUGCAGUGGGUACGGGCAGACUAGAGUGCGGUAGGGGAGAUUGGAAUUCCUGGUGUAGCGGUGGAAUGCGCAGAUAUCAGGAGGAACACCGAUGGCGAAGGCAGAUCUCUGGGCCGUAACUGACGCUGAGGAGCGAAAGCGUGGGGAGCGAACAGGAUUAGAUACCCUGGUAGUCCACGCCGUAAACGUUGGGCGCUAGAUGUAGGGACCUUUCCACGGUUUCUGUGUCGUAGCUAACGCAUUAAGCGCCCCGCCUGGGGAGUACGGCCGCAAGGCUAAAACUCAAAGGAAUUGACGGGGGCCCGCACAAGCGGCGGAGCAUGCGGAUUAAUUCGAUGCAACGCGAAGAACCUUACCAAGGCUUGACAUACACCGGAAACGGCCAGAGAUGGUUGCCCCCUUGUGGUCGGUGUACAGGUGGUGCAUGGUUGUCGUCAGCUCGUGUCGUGAGAUGUUGGGUUAAGUCCCGCAACGAGCGCAACCCUCGUUCUAUGUUGCCAGCGCGUUAUGGCGGGGACUCAUAGGAGACUGCCGGGGUCAACUCGGAGGAAGGUGGGGAUGACGUCAAAUCAUCAUGCCCCUUAUGUCUUGGGCUUCACGCAUGCUACAAUGGCCGGUACAAAGGGCUGCGAUACCGUAAGGUGGAGCGAAUCCCAAAAAGCCGGUCUCAGUUCGGAUUGAGGUCUGCAACUCGACCUCAUGAAGUCGGAGUCGCUAGUAAUCGCAGAUCAGCAACGCUGCGGUGAAUA
This 1337-nucleotide ribosomal RNA is filed under the name Curtobacterium sp. MG-2011-24-BE. RNAcentral describes it as "bacterial SSU rRNA". It matches the Rfam family "Bacterial small subunit ribosomal RNA", at positions 20 to 1368 of the family's 1533-position model. Lineage: Bacteria; Bacillati; Actinomycetota; Actinomycetes; Micrococcales; Microbacteriaceae. The record is from RNAcentral.